RNAcentral lists this long non-coding RNA (331 nucleotides) under Prunus persica (peach). RNAcentral describes it as "long non-coding RNA (PPER_LNC004917)". Lineage: Eukaryota; Viridiplantae; Streptophyta; Magnoliopsida; Rosales; Rosaceae. The record is from RNAcentral.
CACCACCAUCACCACCACCACAACCACCACCUCCUCCAAAAUCUCCACAACCAACAUCACCAUGCGGCCACUGCCAACAUCACCACUGCCACCACCUCCACAACAACCAUCCCCACCACCACCACAACCACAACCACCAACUCCACCACUUGCACCACCACAUUCACUACCUCCACAACCACCGCCACCACCACCACAUCCUCCUCCUCCUCCUCCUCCUCCGCAUCACCACCACAACCACCACCAUCACCACCACCACCACAACCACCUCCUCCAAAAUCUCCACAACCAACAUCACCACCACUACCAUGCGGCCACUGCCAACACCACC